This 518-nucleotide ribosomal RNA is filed under the name uncultured fungus. Its description in RNAcentral is "bacterial SSU rRNA". It matches the Rfam family "Eukaryotic small subunit ribosomal RNA", at positions 214 to 733 of the family's 1831-position model. Lineage: Eukaryota; Fungi. The record is from RNAcentral.
AUAAAAAACCAAUGCCCUUCGGGGCUCCUUGGUGAUUCAUAAUAACUUAACGAAUCGCAUGGCCUUGUGCCGGCGAUGGUUCAUUCAAAUUUCUGCCCUAUCAACUUUCGAUGGUAGAGUAGUGGUCGACCAUGGUUUCAACGGGUAACGGGGAAUUAGGGUUCUAUUCCGGAGAGGGAGCCUGAGAAACGGCUACCACAUCCAAGGAAGGCAGCAGGCGCGCAAAUUACCCAAUCCCGACACGGGGAGGUAGUGACAAUAAAUACUGAUACAGGGCUCUUUUGGGUCUUGUAAUUGGAAUGAGUACAAUUUAAAUCCCUUAACGAGGAACAAUUGGAGGGCAAGUCUGGUGCCAGCAGCCGCGGUAAUUCCAGCUCCAAUAGCGUAUAUUAAAGUUGUUGCUGUUAAAAAGCUCGUAGUUGAAUUUUGGGUCUUAAUAUGAGGUCCGCCAAACAGCGAGUACUUCAUAUUGAGGCCUCCCUUUCUGGGGGUCCUAUCUGCUCUUAAUUGGGUGGGUA